UUAAUGAGAGUGGUCAGUAUCUUUGAAAGAUAACAGCAAAAAAACUACUCAACAACAACAACAAAACUAACCACGGAUAACGAAAAGAGAAUGUCGGCUGAUAAUUUGUGAAUUGAAGUGUAGAAAAAAAAACAGAAGAAAAAGACGAUAACAAACUCGUUGAUAAAACGUCACACAUAAGGAAAGUAAACAAAAAUAAAACGUAAUAACUGAAAGUGUGGCCGUCAACCGCACAUACGUUCUCUUCACCGUUUUAUCUACGUCCCAAACUUCCCCGCCACCUCACCAUUCAACCACUAUGGCUGCUUUAAUCUACUGCCUGUGCAGUGCACUAAACGAUCUGUACGUCUUUACACAUGCCUUCCAGCGUUGUAAUUGCGACUACCAGCGAACCCUAAAGUAUCUGAGAUACAGAAAGCGGCUACUGCUGUACCAUCAGUAUUUGCGUGAUUUCCAUUUGGACUACUACUACCGUGAUUAUCGGGCGGCCAAUAACAACGGGAUAAGUGAAAAACAAAUUGCCAAAGAGGCGACGACAACGGCGAGUGAUACGCCAACAACAAUAAAAUACAAAAGUGCCAAUUUUGUGACAAGUCAGCUAGCAGAAGACAAAGGCGGAGAACAACAGCCACUGGACGAAGUUGACCAGAUUAGUUUAAGUGCCACAGCCACCACAACACCAAGAGGACGAAGAAUAAUACAAAAAAUGCAACGAGCCGGAAUUGAUUUUGCUGCCAUAGAGGCAUCAUCGGAAGUUUUUGAGGUUAUCGAUUCGUUUGGCAUCAAAUCUUCCCAGGGAGCAGCCAGCAGUGCUACCGAGGAUUUUCUGCUGGGAGAACGUAUGAAUGCCGAUUUUCGUGAGAAUUAUUUCGAGCCGGAGGACAUUGAAAUCAUUGAUGGUUUCGAGGAUGAUACUAUUCUCUACCAGGACGGCGAAGAUGAGCCGGUGUAUUCGAAUCCGAAUUUGGGCAAAUUGCACGAGGGUGUCAGUUUUACGGUGAAAGGACGAACAAAGAAACACUGUGAAAGGUUCUCCAUAAACUUCAUCAUUGAAAAUGCCACACGUGAUGUAGCCCUGCACAUUAAUCCUCGUCUACCUCAAAAUUACAUUGUACGCAAUACCAAAGUCCGCAAUGCCUGGGGUCGAGAAGAGGUAGCCUCGGCAUUGCCCUUUAGUUUAAGACGUGGCGCCGCAUUUUCCGUUCAGGUCCUAUUCACCGAAGAGUGUUACAUGAUCUCAGUGAAUGGCUAUCAUUUCUGUAAAUUCUAUCAUCGUUUGCCUUAUGAAAGUGUCCAAAGUCUCGAAGUGAAGGGUGAAAUUGAAGAUGUUACCGUUGAGCGUUUGGAGGUGCAACACUAUCCGGAACGUUUGCCGGAAUCGGUACCACAAAAGGUACGUUUGGCUAGAGCUCUGCGAGAACCAACACUGCCCGAUGCGCACACGGUGGCUGCUUACGAUGAGACUGACCGAGUUGCUGUACCCGCCGAUGCGGAAGAUGACAAAGUUAUAACCCAAUGGCGCGUUGUGAAGAAGGCCAAUGGUGACAUUGAAUAUGAACCGAAAAUUGUAGCAUUAAAUGAAAUCAAGUUACCCUAUUAUGGUACCAUACCGCGUAAUUCAUUCCAGCUGGGCCGUGUACUUAAGGUGGAGGGACGUGUUCGAUUACUGCCACAAUCGUUCUACAUAAACAUGCAGUCGGGCCACAAUUGUUGGCCCCAUCCCGUUGUAGCGUUGCAUUUAAAUCCACGUUUUACCAAACAAAGUUCCGGUGCCAUUGGCCGUGCCACAGUGAUACGCAACUCAUGGAUCGAUGGCAAUUGGGGUCAGGAGGAACGUUCCGAUUUGGAGACGAAAUUCCUGCCCGGCAAACCGUUUAGUUUGCAAAUUGUCCAUGGCGAUGAUUCGUUUAAGAUUUAUGUCAACCAUCAACUGCUGACCGAAUAUAAGUUCCGUGUCAGUCCCAGUACAAUUGAUACGAUUUAUAUUCAGGGUGAUAUCAAGCUAUUCGAUGUAGCUUUGGAGCCAUAUUCGAAAUCGGUUUAAAUGCCUGAGCUUUAUGUAAUGGGAGAGAAGAACAAAAGACGAGUGGAAAACGUAACGACAAGAGCCUGUUUGGAGGAGAUGGUGUAUGAAGAGGAAUAAGAUGCGGGGAGAGAUAUGGUCUUGCUUUGAAUGCGCCGCCACAAUUUGCUGAAGCUUGUUGGUUGUUAAAACAAUUCCGGCUGGGGAAAAAAGAAACUCCCAAAUUCCCCGACAAAAAAAUACACAAAAACCCCCCUUAAAAUAUACCAAAACUAAACAAAAUAUAUACAUCUUUGUUAUUUAGUUUUUUAGGCUUACAAUUUAUUGUUAAUGUGAAAAAAGAAAAAAAGAAAACCCAUUGGCUUUUAUAAAUCAGAAGACAUACAAAUACCAAAAUUAGGAAAAACGUAACUCAAAAGAAAAAUUUUGAACCAAAAAAGAUGAAAUCUAAAAUAUUUUCAAAAAAUCUAUAUAUAAUUUUUUCUUAAAAAGAGAGACAGACAAUAAAUUUAUUCCUAUUAAAACAAAAACUCUAAUUGUCGAAAGUAAAAAAGCUAAUACCAUUUAUUCUAACAAUCUAACACAACAUUUAAAGAAAAAACCCUAAAAUAUAAAUUAUUUUAAUUCCGAUAAUGUAAUAUUAUCUCAAAAUACUAAUUCUCUUGCUAAUAUUUAUAUUUAAACAAAAAAGAAAACUAGACGGCGAAUUGAUACAAAGGAAUUUAAUAUGAUAAAGAACAAAAAAAAAAAAAAAAAAACAAAAUCUAAUAGCCAGGACUCUUUUUUUACCAAAAUCACAUAUUUUAAAACCAAAAUACACACACACACAAACACUGAUAACCAUUCGUGUUUUUUAUAUAAAGUUUUCCAAUGUUACAAUUUUAUGCAGGUAUAACAAAUAAAAGAAACUUAUGCUCUCACAUAUAUAUGUCCAUAUGUAUGUAUGAAUGUAAAAUAUUUAUAGUAUAUAGUACUCGAAAUUUUGUUUGGGGUUCUGUGUAAUCCCAUAUUUGAAACAACCUAUAAACCACAA
This is an RNA transcript of Musca domestica (house fly), 3056 nucleotides long. It is a transcript of the gene named galectin-9, with no coding region annotated. The transcript has 4 exons. NCBI's taxonomy places the organism in Eukaryota, Metazoa, Arthropoda, Insecta, Diptera, Muscidae. The record is from RefSeq and is a predicted model, not a curated record.